This 394-nucleotide ribosomal RNA is filed under the name Plasmodium vivax (malaria parasite P. vivax). RNAcentral describes it as "SSU rRNA". It matches the Rfam family "Eukaryotic small subunit ribosomal RNA", at positions 385 to 797 of the family's 1831-position model. Lineage: Eukaryota; Apicomplexa; Aconoidasida; Haemosporida; Plasmodiidae. The record is from RNAcentral.
GGAGAGGGAGCCUGAAAAAUAGCUACCACAUCUAAGGAAGGCAGCAGGCGCGUAAAUUACCCAAUUCUAAAGAAGAGAGGUAGUGACAAGAAAUAACAAUACAAGGCCAAUCUGGCUUUGUAAUUGGAAUGAUGGGAAUUUAAAACCUUCCCAAAACUCAAUUGGAGGGCAAGUCUGGUGCCAGCAGCCGCGGUAAUUCCAGCUCCAAUAGCGUAUAUUAAAAUUGUUGCAGUUAAAACGCUCGUAGUUGAAUUUCAAAGAAUCGAUAUUUUAAGCAACGCUUCUAGCUUAAUCCACAUAACUGAUACUUCGUAUCGACUUUGUGCGCAUUUUGCUAUUAUGUGUUCUUUUAAUUAAAAUGAUUCUUUUUAAGGACUUUCUUUGCUUCGGCUUG